CGUUAUGGCGGCUGUAUGUGGGGCACACUUGUGUGCGCCAGGUUUCUUGGUGACUGGUCUGUCAACCCGCCUACAGCCGCCACCCAC
Non-coding RNA from Pseudomonas sp. Bc-h, 87 nucleotides. The record is from Rfam. NCBI's taxonomy places the organism in Bacteria, Pseudomonadati, Pseudomonadota, Gammaproteobacteria, Pseudomonadales, Pseudomonadaceae.